Long non-coding RNA from Papaver somniferum (opium poppy), 1799 nucleotides. RefSeq lists it as uncharacterized. The transcript is spliced from 11 exons. The record is from RefSeq and is a predicted model, not a curated record. Lineage: Eukaryota; Viridiplantae; Streptophyta; Magnoliopsida; Ranunculales; Papaveraceae.
UUUCCGUUCUGCUCUUUUCUACCCUCUUUCGUUCUUAUCUCUUUCUCUUAUUUCCUUUUCGCUUCGUCUCAAAACCGAAAGAGAAAAAUCGAGCGAGAGAAACCAAGAUACAAAACCUCUCUUUAGAGUAUAUCAAAUCCAGAUUCAUACCUAAAUCGAUUGAAAAUCUUCAUCUUAUAUCAAUAACUUAAAGCCUGUUAGAACUCAGAUUUAUUCUUCUUCUUCUACUAUUUUCAAACCGUAAAUUGACCAAAAAUUGUGUUAAGCAUGUUACCAGAAUUGAAGACCCAUUUUUACUGAGUUUCAAUAACCUAAUCUCAGAAGAAGAAUUAGGUACAUAUACUUAGAAGAUUCACAGAAGAUUUAGGUUGAUUGCUUCCAUGCGCUGCGGAGGAUCAAGCCUUUAUCCAUACCUUACGUAGUUUUCGUCAAGCAAGGACUUUCAUCGUUUGUAGGCAUCUACUUGAAACGUUCUGUCUGUCAUUUAUGUUGUCAAGGCAUGGGGUGUUAUCAUCCGCUUUUUUUUUAGGAUUUACUGCAUGAGGCAUGAUUUCAACCUGGAUAAUGGCAUAUAUUGAGAAGAGUCAUGGUGGUUGGGUUGCAGCAAAGAAAAUAUGGAGAGUAUUUGUUUCUAUUCACACUUUGAUCUGUUUAUGACUUGCUUUAUUUACGUGCAUUGUGAAUUUUAUCUCUAUCUUGAAGAUUAAACGCACCUAUAAUUUUCAACUCGUCCGCAGGAUUCCAACUCAGAUGCGGUGUUUGGCUUCAACCAGUUCAACCUUGCUUUCUCAAGAUUCAGUAAAUGUGUUAUUUGCAGCGGGUUCAUCUAGAACUCAGCAUCCCCAUCGGUUUUUUAAUUUGGCUAUUUACAUGAUUAUUAUGCUGUUUUUGGAGUUUCAAAAAAUGCUAAUAAGGCAGACAGACAUAAAGAGUGGCCUGUGCACUUCUCCAAAACAAUCUCGAUAAUGCUAAAGCAAGCAUAGAGGUCCUUAUUGCUGAUUUGCAAUUAUUAAGGAACCAGGUGACGAUAACACAGGUAUAGAGUGAUAGAGAAGGGAAAUAGACAUCUGAGAAUCUGAAUUGAUUGAUAAUAGAAGUUUGAAUAGUAGGUAUAACAUUAUAAGACUGGAUGAGUUGGGAACCACCAUUAUGUAAUUGGGUAUUGCUUUUUGUAAUUGGGUAUUGCUGUAACUGCAAGAAGAGUGUGGACAUAGCAACAAGUUGAGGCCAAAGAGAAAGAACAAGUAGAUGCAAUCCUGAAAUUUUGGUAUAGUUUUAGCAUCUGUUACUGGUAAUCACAGAUCAAAUCAUGUCUUUCAAGCCGGGUGUAAAAGCUAAGCCUUUGAAGCAACCCAAGGCAAAAUAGAAAGAAUAUGAUGAGACUGACUUGGCAAAUCUUCAAAAGAAUAAAAGAGAAGCUUUAUGUCAGGUGGUGUUGGACUAAAGAAAGGCGGAAAGAUUGGAACAAGAUGCUCUAGUAAAGGUAUAUGUCUGGAAAUUAUGCCCAUUUGAGCUUGUCCUGUUUUUGUUCUGGUCCUUUGGUAUGUACACCGACUCCUAGAGAUGUUCCAUUUACAUCAGGUGGCAUUAUAAGGAAAUCAAGAAGUCAGAGUUGGAUAAGCAUAAUAUGAUUUGAGCGAACAAGUUGUAGGUAGUUUCUUAUUUCUUAAAUUCUUGUAGAAAAUGUAUCCACUGCCUAUGCAUGAUUUAUGAUUGGGAAUGGAGUGGCUAGAUACCUGUAUUCUGGUGCAGGAAAACAAAUGUGCAGGUGCAGGAAAUUUUGAAAUAAGAUUUUUUUU